Molecule: ribosomal RNA, 451 nt
Filed under: uncultured bacterium
Lineage: Bacteria
Description: partial 16S ribosomal RNA
Rfam family: Bacterial small subunit ribosomal RNA
Source: RNAcentral
GUGAGGAAUAUUGGUCAAUGGGCGCAAGCCUGAUCCAGCCACGCCGCGUGUGUGAAGAAGGUCUUCGGAUUGUAAAGCACUUUAAGUUGGGAGGAAGGGCAGUAAGUUAAUACCUUGCUGUUUUGACGUUACCGACAGAAUAAGCACCGGCUAACUUCGUGCCAGCAGCCGCAGUAAUACGAAGGGUGCAAGCGUUAAUCGGAAUUACUGGGCGUAAAGCGCGCGUAGGUGGUUUUGUAAGUUGGAGGUGAAAUCCCCGGGCUCAACCUGGGAACUGCCUCCAAAACUGCAUGACUAGAGUACGGUAGAGGGUAGUGGAAUUUCCUGUGUAGCGGUGAAAUGCGUAGAUAUAGGAAGGAACACCAGUGGCGAAGGCGACUACCUGGACUGAUACUGACACUGAGGUGCGAAAGCGUGGGGAGCAAACAGGAUUAGAUACCCUCUGUAGUCC